UACGGAGGAUGCAAGCGUUAUCCGGCAUGCUUGGGCGUAAAGCGUCCGCAGGUGGCCAUGUAAGUCUGCUGUUAAAGCGUCUAGCUCAACUAGAUACAAGCAGUGGAAACUACAUCGCUAGAGUGCGUUCGGGGCAGAGGGAAUUCCUGGUGUAGCGGUGAAAUGCGUAGAGAUCAGGAAGAACACCGGUGGCGAAGGCGCUCUGCUAGGCCGCAACUGACACUGAGGGACGAAAGCUAGGGGAGCGAAUGGG
RNAcentral lists this ribosomal RNA (253 nucleotides) under uncultured bacterium. RNAcentral's name for it is "partial 16S ribosomal RNA". It matches the Rfam family "Bacterial small subunit ribosomal RNA", at positions 524 to 776 of the family's 1533-position model. The record is from RNAcentral.